UCUAAAAAAUCCGCUCGAUUUUCAGAUUUGGCCCAAGUUAAAGAGUUCACAGUGUCGGAAUCUUCAAUUCCGACCCUGCAUUUGGUUCCGUUAAAAGAUUGCCCAGAAAGGGUGCCGGAACUGCCUCCACAAAAUUCAAAUGAAGUAAAAUAUUUUUGGUGUUACACCUGUCAAAAUUCUCGUACUAAUUCUUUGCCCUGGUUGCUGCGAUUGCGGUAUUCUAAAUUCUCGAUGUGGUUGCGCCAUUUGUUUUGUGGUUCGAUGUUUUGCGCUGUUAUUUGUUUGGUUGUUUUUGUUUGAAUUGUUUAAUCUUUUUUUUCUCGUUUCAUGAGCUGUUUCUUGUUUAGAGCGUUUCUUAGUUACCGAUGAUGAGAUGAUUGGACUGGAGAUUUCAGAGUAGAGUAAAUAUUAUUGACGACGAUGACGAUGAUGGCGAUGAUGAUGAUUAUAUGACGAGCAAGACGAUGAUGCAGAUGAUGGAUGACAACUAUAUGAGAUGAAUUUUGGAUGGAUUAGAAAUAUGCCGAAUUACUGGACCGAACGACGAUACCGACGGAGAGGCCUUUUUGAAGAUCUUGAAGACUGAAGAUUUUUUUCUUUAAAUGACAUGUAUUAUAUUUUUG
Molecule: long non-coding RNA, 623 nt
Organism: Culex quinquefasciatus (southern house mosquito)
Lineage: Eukaryota; Metazoa; Arthropoda; Insecta; Diptera; Culicidae
Exons: 3
Source: RefSeq, a predicted model, not a curated record